CCUGUGCCAACUUCCCCAACAUACCCAAGAAUUUCUUUAUUUAGAAACUCUCAUGUGCUAUUUUUUUUAAAUCUCUGGAAUCUCAGGGAUUUUCCCAUCCCUCUACAUGCUCGAGACGUUUCAGGGCAUGGUAACCCCCUGUUGGAAUCCUCUAACUCUUCUGUUUUAUUUUUAUAAUGUGGGCUGUAUUAGUGUACAGGAAGUGACUGUUCCUAUGACAAAGGAGGGUGAGAUUCCCAGAGUGUAUGGCAAUACCACUGAAGACUGUUGUGGAGAAGGCAACUCUGUGAGCCACCAAAGCCUCCUUUUAAGGCAUCCUUGAAAAUCAAGAGAUUUUGAAAUCAAGAGCUUUAUGAGAAGGGAUCGAAUUCCAGACGUUGUGCUUGGGAGGCAGGCAGUGGAACCGCUGAGCUAAAUCCCUGGCCCUAAAUUUAUUUUUUAUUUAAAUACUUCAACUAAAAUGCUUUCAUUAAAGAUUGUUUAAGUUAAAAUUUCAUAUUAUUUCAUCUCCUAGAUAAAAUAUAAGUCUUCAUUUCAUG
Heterocephalus glaber (naked mole-rat) is the source of this 539-nucleotide long non-coding RNA. Lineage: Eukaryota; Metazoa; Chordata; Mammalia; Rodentia; Bathyergidae. The record is from Ensembl.